This 263-nucleotide ribosomal RNA is filed under the name uncultured Desulfocapsa sp. RNAcentral's name for it is "partial 16S ribosomal RNA". It matches the Rfam family "Bacterial small subunit ribosomal RNA", at positions 1120 to 1382 of the family's 1533-position model. Lineage: Bacteria; Pseudomonadati; Thermodesulfobacteriota; Desulfobulbia; Desulfobulbales; Desulfocapsaceae. The record is from RNAcentral.
AUCAUUGAGUUGGGCACUCUAAAGAGACUGCCGGUGUCAAACCGGAGGAAGGUGGGGGAUGACGUCAAGUCCUCAUGGCCUUUAUGACCAGGGCUACACACGUACUACAAUGGCCGGUACAAAGGGCAGCGACACAGCGAUGUGAAGCGAAUCCCGAAAAGCCGGUCUCAGUCCGGAUUGGAGUCUGCAACUCGACUCCAUGAAGUUGGAAUCGCUAGUAAUCGCGGAUCAGCACGCCGCGGUCGAAUACGUUCCCGGGCCUU